GGUUAAGCGACUAAGCGUACACGGUGGAUGCCCUGGCAGUCAGAGGCGAUGAAGGACGUGCUAAUCUGCGAUAAGCGUCGGUAAGGUGAUAUGAACCGUUAUAACCGGCGAUUUCCGAAUGGGGAAACCCAGUGUGUUUCGACACACUAUCAUUAACUGAAUCCAUAGGUUAAUGAGGCGAACCGGGGGAACUGAAACAUCUAAGUACCCCGAGGAAAAGAAAUCAACCGAGAUUCCCCCAGUAGCGGCGAGCGAACGGGGAGCAGCCCAGAGCCUGAAUCAGUGUGUGUGUUAGUGGAAGCGUCUGGAAAGGCGCGCGAUACAGGGUGACAGCCCCGUACACAAAAAUGCACAUAUUGUGAGCUCGAUGAGUAGGGCGGGACACGUGGUAUCCUGUCUGAAUAUGGGGGGACCAUCCUCCAAGGCUAAAUACUCCUGACUGACCGAUAGUGAACCAGUACCGUGAGGGAAAGGCGAAAAGAACCCCGGCGAGGGGAGUGAAAAAGAACCUGAAACCGUGUACGUACAAGCAGUGGGAGCACGCUUCGGCGUGUGACUGCGUACCUUUUGUAUAAUGGGUCAGCGACUUAUAUUCUGUAGCAAGGUUAACCGAAUAGGGGAGCCGAAGGGAAACCGAGUCUUAACUGGGCGUUAAGUUGCAGGGUAUAGACCCGAAACCCGGUGAUCUAGCCAUGGGCAGGUUGAAGGUUGGGUAACACUAACUGGAGGACCGAACCGACUAAUGUUGAAAAAUUAGCGGAUGACUUGUGGCUGGGGGUGAAAGGCCAAUCAAACCGGGAGAUAGCUGGUUCUCCCCGAAAGCUAUUUAGGUAGCGCCUCGUGAAUUCAUCUCCGGGGGUAGAGCACUGUUUCGGCAAGGGGGUCAUCCCGACUUACCAACCCGAUGCAAACUGCGAAUACCGGAGAAUGUUAUCAUGGGAGACACACGGCGGGUGCUAACGUCCGUCGUGAAGAGGGAAACAACCCAGACCGCCAGCUAAGGUCCCAAAGUCAUGGUUAAGUGGGAAACGAUGUGGGAAGGCCCAGACAGCCAGGAUGUUGGCUUAGAAGCAGCCAUCAUUUAAAGAAAGCGUAAUAGCUCACUGGUCGAGUCGGCCUGCGCGGAAGAUGUAACGGGGCUAAACCAUGCACCGAAGCUGCGGCAGCGACGCUGAUGCGUUGUUGGGUAGGGGAGCGUUCUGUAAGCCUGCGAAGGUGUGCUGUGAGGCAUGCUGGAGGUAUCAGAAGUGCGAAUGCUGACAUAAGUAACGAUAAAGCGGGUGAAAAGCCCGCUCGCCGGAAGACCAAGGGUUCCUGUCCAACGUUAAUCGGGGCAGGGUGAGUCGACCCCUAAGGCGAGGCCGAAAGGCGUAGUCGAUGGGAAACAGGUUAAUAUUCCUGUACUUGGUGUUACUGCGAAGGGGGGACGGAGAAGGCUAUGUUGGCCGGGCGACGGUUGUCCCGGUUUAAGCGUGUAGGCUGGUUUUCCAGGCAAAUCCGGAAAAUCAAGGCUGAGGCGUGAUGACGAGGCACUACGGUGCUGAAGCAACAAAUGCCCUGCUUCCAGGAAAAGCCUCUAAGCAUCAGGUAACAUCAAAUCGUACCCCAAACCGACACAGGUGGUCAGGUAGAGAAUACCAAGGCGCUUGAGAGAACUCGGGUGAAGGAACUAGGCAAAAUGGUGCCGUAACUUCGGGAGAAGGCACGCUGAUAUGUAGGUGAGGUCCCUCGCGGAUGGAGCUGAAAUCAGUCGAAGAUACCAGCUGGCUGCAACUGUUUAUUAAAAACACAGCACUGUGCAAACACGAAAGUGGACGUAUACGGUGUGACGCCUGCCCGGUGCCGGAAGGUUAAUUGAUGGGGUUAGCGCAAGCGAAGCUCUUGAUCGAAGCCCCGGUAAACGGCGGCCGUAACUAUAACGGUCCUAAGGUAGCGAAAUUCCUUGUCGGGUAAGUUCCGACCUGCACGAAUGGCGUAAUGAUGGCCAGGCUGUCUCCACCCGAGACUCAGUGAAAUUGAACUCGCUGUGAAGAUGCAGUGUACCCGCGGCAAGACGGAAAGACCCCGUGAACCUUUACUAUAGCUUGACACUGAACAUUGAGCCUUGAUGUGUAGGAUAGGUGGGAGGCUUUGAAGUGUGGACGCCAGUCUGCAUGGAGCCGACCUUGAAAUACCACCCUUUAAUGUUUGAUGUUCUAACGUUGACCCGUAAUCCGGGUUGCGGACAGUGUCUGGUGGGUAGUUUGACUGGGGCGGUCUCCUCCUAAAGAGUAACGGAGGAGCACGAAGGUUGGCUAAUCCUGGUCGGACAUCAGGAGGUUAGUGCAAUGGCAUAAGCCAGCUUGACUGCGAGCGUGACGGCGCGAGCAGGUGCGAAAGCAGGUCAUAGUGAUCCGGUGGUUCUGAAUGGAAGGGCCAUCGCUCAACGGAUAAAAGGUACUCCGGGGAUAACAGGCUGAUACCGCCCAAGAGUUCAUAUCGACGGCGGUGUUUGGCACCUCGAUGUCGGCUCAUCACAUCCUGGGGCUGAAGUAGGUCCCAAGGGUAUGGCUGUUCGCCAUUUAAAGUGGUACGCGAGCUGGGUUUAGAACGUCGUGAGACAGUUCGGUCCCUAUCUGCCGUGGGCGCUGGAGAACUGAGGGGGGCUGCUCCUAGUACGAGAGGACCGGAGUGGACGCAUCACUGGUGUUCGGGUUGUCAUGCCAAUGGCACUGCCCGGUAGCUAAAUGCGGAAGAGAUAAGUGCUGAAAGCAUCUAAGCACGAAACUUGCCCCGAGAUGAGUUCUCCCUGACUCCUUGAGAGUCCUGAAGGAACGUUGAAGACGACGACGUUGAUAGGCCGGGUGUGUAAGCGCAGCGAUGCGUUGAGCUAACCGGUACUAAUGAACCGUGAGGCUUAACCUU
This 2904-nucleotide ribosomal RNA is filed under the name Escherichia coli. Its description in RNAcentral is "23S ribosomal RNA". It matches the Rfam family "Bacterial large subunit ribosomal RNA". The record is from RNAcentral. Lineage: Bacteria; Pseudomonadati; Pseudomonadota; Gammaproteobacteria; Enterobacterales; Enterobacteriaceae.